CAAUAAGCGGAGGAAAAGAAACCAACAGGGAUUGCCCCAGUAACGGCGAGUGAAGCGGCAACAGCUCAAAUUUGAAAUCUGGCCCCAGGCCCGAGUUGUAAUUUGCAGAGGAUGCUUUUGGCGCGGUGCCUUCCGAGUUCCCUGGAACGGGACGCCAUAGAGGGUGAGAGCCCCGUACGGUUGGACACCAAGCCUUUGUAAAGCUCCUUCGACGAGUCGAGUAGUUUGGGAAUGCUGCUCUAAAUGGGAGGUACAUUUCUUCUAAAGCUAAAUAUUGGCCAGAGACCGAUAGCGCACAAGUAGAGUGAUCGAAAGAUGAAAAGCACUUUGAAAAGAGGGUUAAACAGCACGUGAAAUUGUUAAAAGGGAAGCGCUUGUGACCAGACUUGCGUCCGGUGAAUCACCCAGCUCUCGCGGCUGGGGCACUUCGCCGGCACAGGCCAGCAUCAGCUUGCCGUCGGGGACAAAAGCUUCAGGAACGUAGCUCCUCUCGGGGAGUGUUAUAGCCUGUUGUAUAAUACCCUUCGGCGGGCUGAGGUACGCGCUCCGCAAGGAUGCUGGCGUAAUGGUCAUCAGCGACCCGUCUUGAAACACGGACCAAGGAGUCAACCUUAUGUGCGAGUGUUUGGGUGUUAAACCCCUACGCGUAAUGAAAGUGAACGCAGGUGAGAGCUUCGGCGCAUCAUCGACCGAUCCUGAUGUUCUCGGAUGGAUUUGAGUAAGAGCAUAUAGGGUUGGACCCGAAAGAAGGUGAACUAUGCGUGUGUAGGGUGAAGCCAGAGGAAACUCUGGUGGAGGCUCGCAGCGGUUCUGACGUGCAAAUCGAUCGUCAAACAUGCGCAUGGGGGCGAAAGACUAAUCGAACCUUCUAGUAGCUGGUUUCC
This 884-nucleotide ribosomal RNA is filed under the name Colletotrichum fioriniae. Its description in RNAcentral is "LSU rRNA". It matches the Rfam family "Eukaryotic large subunit ribosomal RNA", at positions 44 to 959 of the family's 3401-position model. Lineage: Eukaryota; Fungi; Ascomycota; Sordariomycetes; Glomerellales; Glomerellaceae. The record is from RNAcentral.